Molecule: ribosomal RNA, 79 nt
Filed under: Phytophthora tentaculata
Lineage: Eukaryota; Oomycota; Peronosporomycetes; Peronosporales; Peronosporaceae
Description: partial 28S ribosomal RNA
Source: RNAcentral
CAUUUGGGAAAUUUGUGUGUACUUCGGUAUGCAUCUCAAUUGGACCUGAUAUCAGGCAAGAUUACCCGCUGAACUUAAC